UAAUACGUAGGGCGCAAGCGUUGUCCGGAAUUAUUGGGCGUAAAGAGCUCGUAGGCGGCUUGUCACGUCGAUUGUGAAAGCCCGAGGCUUAACCUCGGGUCUGCAGUCGAUACGGGCUAGCUAGAGUGUGGUAGGGGAGAUCGGAAUUCCUGGUGUAGCGGUGAAAUGCGCAGAUAUCAGGAGGAACACCGGUGGCGAAGGCGGAUCUCUGGGCCAUUACUGACGCUGAGGAGCGAAAGCGUGGGGAGCGAACAGGAUUAGAUACCCUGGUAGUCCACGCCGUAAACGGUGGGAACUAGGUGUUGGCGACAUUCCACGUCGUCGGUGCCGCAGCUAACGCAUUAAGUUCCCCGCCUGGGGAGUACGGCCGCAAGGCU
Molecule: ribosomal RNA, 377 nt
Filed under: uncultured bacterium
Lineage: Bacteria
Description: bacterial SSU rRNA
Rfam family: Bacterial small subunit ribosomal RNA
Source: RNAcentral